This is a long non-coding RNA of Cornus florida, 2129 nucleotides long. RefSeq lists it as uncharacterized. The transcript is spliced from 2 exons. The record is from RefSeq and is a predicted model, not a curated record. NCBI's taxonomy places the organism in Eukaryota, Viridiplantae, Streptophyta, Magnoliopsida, Cornales, Cornaceae.
UUGGGUACUACAAUUCCGCUAAACAUAGACAUUGAAUUGAGUAUUAUAAAAAAACCACAUACUCCUCAGACACAUGUAAUCUCCGAUCUCACAUCCAAUCCCGAAUUUCAUCAGGGCAAAUUGGGCAAUUGUAGCUUUGUUUUAACCACCGAAUGAAAACCACGAGAACAAAGCAAGCGUGUGAACUCGAAAAUGCAGAGCAGUGUCAUUUACCUUCUCCUCUUUGAUUUCGGUUGCAAAACCUCAAAGACCUAUAAACCCUAGCUCUUCGUGUAGAUUCAACCCUUUUUCUGUAUCCUUGCCUUAGAUCGAUUGAUUUUGUCUCCGUCAUUGAAGUCUCUGUGGUCAUCGUUGCAGCGAUUACCAAAUCUGUUGUUCUUCGUCGUCGGGAUUGAGUGGCUGGAUUUCGGCUCCGCCUCUGGUGCCGAAGCACGUAUGGGAUGCUUAGGGCAACGUCGGUCCCCGAGAGCGCUGUCGAGUGUUCGAAGUCCCAGAGCUUGGCGAUCCACGUUGCAGCUUGGACUCUGUUCGGGCUCUGGUAAUUAUGGUAGAGUUUCUGAAAGAGAUGUUUUGUUCUGAUGAUGCAUUCAACUACAAUGAAGAAACUGGUUUCAUAUUUGCUUUCAAAAGGUUUGAUUCUCUGUUUUUAUGUUUAAGAAUGUGUUUGUAGCUUAAUUAAAAAUUUUGAGUCUCUGGAAUGUGCUGCUAAGUCAACAAUAAAAUAAAAAAUAAAAAAAGCCCAACUGGCAUUUGGAAAGAUGUCUUACACGACCAUCAUUGUAUAAUUUUGGGUGUUAUUUAUUACAGUAUUUUUUUGUGAUUUAUCAUUGCAUCUUUUGGGUUGCACGUAACAUGUUUGAAUGAAUGCCGGUUUGAAAAUGUGUUUUUGCAACCUUAACUAGUUUUGUUCUGUACUUAUAAAUUGGGAAUGAUGACAUCAGGCUUAUAAUAACACUAUAUAUAUAGUAACAUCUAGUUUGGUUCUAUAGAUUUACCGGAAAAAAAAAAAAAAAAAAAAAAAAAUUUCUCGGGUACUGUAAUUGGGAAAGAUACAUUCUUGAUGUGGUCUAUGUCGUAAAUUUUAUGAAAUUGCCACAAAAGAACAUUCAUUCUGAAUUUUAUGAAAUUAUUUUGUUUGUAUUUAUGAGCACAGACCUUUAAUACUUUCAUGAUCGCAUUUCUAAUUUCUAAUUUCUAAUUAAUCCUUGUGCCUGAAACUGUAAAAUAAUAUCAUUGUUCUAUGAAGAUUAUUUCUUAGCCCUUAGAUUACACUCCGCAAUGAGAUGUCCUAACCUUGAACUUUCACUCUUUUAUAGUAUGGUGUCAUGUGUAUAAUUCUUCCAUUUUAAAAAAUAAAAAUAAAAAUAAUGAUAAAAAGUAUAGUAUUGUAUGAACUGAAGAAAUAUCUGUACCAAGGGAAGAAACCAAAAGUCCCAUUGGGCAGCGAGGCAAGACCUCAGUACAGAAACCAGACAGAAAAGGAUCAAACUAGAGGUCUGACCACUACUAAUACAAAAGGUACCCAAUAUUUCAAAGCAUUCCAGCCCAAAAAGACCAACAAAAAACUGCCCUUGAUACCCAAGUACGUUGCAAGGCAUGAAGGUAGCACAAAAAGAUAGUACUAGUUUGAGCGGGUCUUAUGAGGCCUGUUUCUAGUCUAAAUAUAAAGGGCUCUAAUUUUAUCAAACUUAGAUUGAAUUAACCAUGCCCUAUCACUUCCUUUAUCUUCUUUCUUCCCCUUUCAUCUUGAGUCAAUAGAUUUUAAGGUAUUAUGUUUUCUAUUACAGACCCUUUGUUCUUAGAGCACUACUCUUUCUAAAAGUGUAGUGCCAAUAUUUUUGUUAUGUUGAGGCUAUACCUUGUAUACAAUGGAAUGAAAAAAAUAAAAUUCAAGCAACUAACUCCAAAUUAUUGAGAAAAAGGAGUUGUUGAGUUGACUAGAUUCUAUCAAAAUUUCAUAUGUUAAUUUAGAUCAAUAACAUCCACAAAAAUCAGCUCUCUUAAACAUAUAUUAUCUAUAAAGAAGACAAUAUGAACAAAAACAAUUCGAAUGGUAAGGAAAUCAUUUAAAAAUAGUUAAACUAAUAAUACCUUCUUCUUUUUUUCAAAAAAAAAAAAAGGGAAAAGAA